GGUCCGUUGGCCAAGUGGUAAGGCAUUGCUCUGCAAAAGCAACACCCCCGGUUCGAAUCCGGGACGGACCUCAA
This 74-nucleotide transfer RNA is filed under the name Spirosoma sp. KCTC 42546. RNAcentral describes it as "tRNA-Cys". It matches the Rfam family "tRNA". From Rfam's summary of the family: Transfer RNA (tRNA) molecules are approximately 80 nucleotides in length. Their secondary structure includes four short double-helical elements and three loops (D, anti-codon, and T loops). Lineage: Bacteria; Pseudomonadati; Bacteroidota; Cytophagia; Cytophagales; Cytophagaceae. The record is from RNAcentral.